AUGGAGUCCAGCACAAAGACUCCAGAAGAGAGGCAGUAUGUCAAUAUGCAGUGGGCAUUGUUCUUUUACGAGUGUGGCAUUCCAUUCAACGCUGCAAGUAGUAGGCAGUUUGAGGUUGCAAUUGAAGCCUCUUGUCAAUAUGGGUCAGGUUACAAGCCUCCUAGUGCACAUGAGCUGAGAGAGAAAUUGCUUAAUGAUUGUGUGAAGGAAACAGGACUUUUGAGGAGGCAACACGAGGCAGCAUGGAAAAAAUAUGGAUGCACACUCAUGUCGGAUGGCUGGUCGGAUAAAAGAGGACGCCAUUUGAUUAACUUCCUUGUUAAUAGUCCAGAGGGCACUUUCUUCUUGGAGUCGGUUGAUGCCUCAAGUGUAUGUCAUGAUGGUGAUAUGAUAGCUGAUUUGCUUGAGAAGAGAAUUCUGGAUGUUGGAAAAGAGAAUGUGGUACAAGUUAUCACCGAUAAUGGUGCUAAUUACAAGAAAGCUGGCCACCUUCUAAUGGAGAGGAUGCCUACUCUAUAUUGGAGGCCGUGUGCAUGUCAUUGCUUGGACCUAAUGUUGUAA
RNAcentral lists this ribosomal RNA (561 nucleotides) under Triticum aestivum (bread wheat). RNAcentral's name for it is "partial small subunit ribosomal RNA". The record is from RNAcentral. Lineage: Eukaryota; Viridiplantae; Streptophyta; Magnoliopsida; Poales; Poaceae.